UACGUAGGUGGCAAGCGUUGUCCGGAUUUAUUGGGCGUAAAGCGCGCGCAGGCGGUGCGGUAAGUCUCUGGUGAAAGCGCUCGGCUUAACUGGGCGAGGGCCGGGGAGACUGCCACGCUGGAGGGGAGCAGAGGCGAGUGGAAUUCCGGGUGUAGUGGUGAAAUGCGUAGAGAUCGGGAGGAACACCAGUGGCGAAGGCGGCCGGCUGGGGGUGACCUGACGCUGAGGCGCGAAAGCGUGGGGAGCGAACCGG
RNAcentral lists this ribosomal RNA (253 nucleotides) under uncultured bacterium. RNAcentral's name for it is "partial 16S ribosomal RNA". It matches the Rfam family "Bacterial small subunit ribosomal RNA", at positions 524 to 776 of the family's 1533-position model. The record is from RNAcentral.